CGGGUGUGGCCCCGGUCUAAGUUCCUUGGAACAGGACGUCACAGAGGGUGAGAAUCCCGUACGUGCCCGGUGGCCGCCCCCGUGUGAAGCUCCUUCGACGAGUCGAGUUGUUUGG
This 115-nucleotide ribosomal RNA is filed under the name Oidiodendron sp. RNAcentral's name for it is "partial large subunit ribosomal RNA". It matches the Rfam family "Eukaryotic large subunit ribosomal RNA", at positions 165 to 277 of the family's 3401-position model. The record is from RNAcentral. Lineage: Eukaryota; Fungi; Ascomycota; Leotiomycetes; Myxotrichaceae.